RNAcentral lists this small nuclear RNA (107 nucleotides) under Vicugna pacos (alpaca). Lineage: Eukaryota; Metazoa; Chordata; Mammalia; Artiodactyla; Camelidae. The record is from RNAcentral.
GUGCUCACUUAUGCAGCACAUAUACUAAAAUUGGAACAAUGCAGAGAAGAUUAGUAUGGGCUCUGCGCAAGGAUGACAUGCAAGUUUGUGAAGUGCUCCAUUAAAAA